UAGGGAAUCUUCGGCAAUGGACGAAAGUCUGACCGAGCAACGCCGCGUGAGUGAAGAAGGUUUUCGGAUCGUAAAACUCUGUUGUUAGAGAAGAACAAGGACGUUAGUAACUGAACGUCCCCUGACGGUAUCUAACCAGAAAGCCACGGCUAACUACGUGCCAGCAGCCGCGGUAAUACGUAGGUGGCAAGCGUUGUCCGGAUUUAUUGGGCGUAAAGCGAGCGCAGGCGGUUUCUUAAGUCUGAUGUGAAAGCCCCCGGCUCAACCGGGGAGGGUCAUUGGAAACUGGGAGACUUGAGUGCAGAAGAGGGGAGUGGAAUUCCAUGUGUGGCGGUGAAAUGCGUAGAUAUAUGGAGGAACACCAGUGGCGAAGGCGGCUCUCUGGUCUGUAACUGACGCUGAGGCUCGAAAGCGUGGGGAGCAAACAGG
This 429-nucleotide ribosomal RNA is filed under the name Gemmatimonadota bacterium. RNAcentral describes it as "Gemmatimonadetes bacterium partial 16S ribosomal RNA". It matches the Rfam family "Bacterial small subunit ribosomal RNA", at positions 355 to 776 of the family's 1533-position model. The record is from RNAcentral. Lineage: Bacteria; Pseudomonadati; Gemmatimonadota.